AGAGUUUGAUCAUGGCUCAGAACGAACGCUGGCGGCAGGCUUAACACAUGCAAGUCGAACGCACCGCAAGGUGAGUGGCAGACGGGUGAGUAACGCGUGGGAACCUUCCCUUUGGUACGGAAUAACUUCGGGAAACCGAAGCUAAUACCGUAUAAGUCCUUCGGGAGAAAGAUUUAUCGCCAAAGGAUGGGCCCGCGUUGGAUUAGCUAGUUGGUAGGGUAAAGGCCUACCAAGGCAACGAUCCAUAGCUGGUCUGAGAGGAUGAUCAGCCACACUGGGACUGAGACACGGCCCAGACUCCUACGGGAGGCAGCAGUGGGGAAUAUUGGACAAUGGGGGCAACCCUGAUCCAGCCAUGCCGCGUGAGUGAAGAAGGCCUUAGGGUUGUAAAGCUCUUUUGGCGGGGACGAUAAUGACGGUACCCGCAGAAUAAGCCCCGGCUAACUUCGUGCCAGCAGCCGCGGUAAUACGAAGGGGGCUAGCGUUGUUCGGAAUCACUGGGCGUAAAGCGCACGCAGGCGGAUUGAUAAGUCAGGGGUGAAAUCCCGGAGCUCAACUUCGGAAUUGCCUUUGAUACUGUCUAUCUUCGAGUUCGGGAGAGGUUGGCGGAAUUCCUAGUGUAGAGGUGAAAUUCGUAGAUAUUAGGAAGAACACCAGUGGCGAAGGCGGCCAACUGGCCCGAUACUGACGCUCAUGUGCGAAAGCGUGGGGAGCAAACAGGAUUAGAUACCCUAGUAGUCC
Molecule: ribosomal RNA, 741 nt
Filed under: uncultured bacterium
Lineage: Bacteria
Description: bacterial SSU rRNA
Rfam family: Bacterial small subunit ribosomal RNA
Source: RNAcentral